RNAcentral lists this ribosomal RNA (392 nucleotides) under Chloropicon laureae. RNAcentral describes it as "partial Bacterial large subunit ribosomal RNA". It matches the Rfam family "Bacterial large subunit ribosomal RNA", at positions 2518 to 2925 of the family's 2925-position model. The record is from RNAcentral. Lineage: Eukaryota; Viridiplantae; Chlorophyta; Chloropicophyceae; Chloropicales; Chloropicaceae.
UUGGCACCUCGAUGUCGGCUCAUCGCAUCCUGGGGCUGAAGGCGGUCCCAAGGGUUGGUCUGUUCGCCCAUUAAAGCGGUACGUGAGCUGGGUUUAGACCGUCGUGAGACAGGUCGGUCCCUAUCUGUUGCAGGUGUAGGAGGAUUGAGGAGAGUCUUUCCUAGUACGAGAGGAUUGGAAAGAACGGACCUCUGGUGUUCCUGUUGUUACGCUAGUGGCAUAGCAGGGUAGCUAAGUUCGGACCGGAUAACCGCUGAAAGCAUCUAAGCGGGAAGCCAACUCCAAGACGGAUCCUCCCCCGAGACUCCUGGAAGACGACCAGGUGAUAGGCCGGCGGUGUAAGCGAGGCGACUCGUUCAGCUUACCGGUACUAAUUGUCGAUCGGCUUGACC